This 141-nucleotide non-coding RNA is filed under the name unclassified sequences. RNAcentral's name for it is "RT-14 RNA". It matches the Rfam family "RT-14 RNA". Rfam says of the family: Cloacimonetes, Firmicutes, Proteobacteria. Nearby to self-splicing intron genes The record is from Rfam by way of RNAcentral.
CUCUCAUUGGCCAGAUAUUUAUUACUUAAGGGUAAUAUUUCAGUGCAGAGAGAAUAAAGGAUUCCAUUUCCUUGCAUUUAGCAAAAAAUAUAUUUGGAUAUGAAUGCCGGAAGUAAGAAUAAUAUCCGAACCACGCAAUGC